UACGGAGGGGGCUAGCGUUGUUCGGAAUUAUUGGGCGUAAAGAGCUCGUAGGCGGUGUGUCGCGUCGGCCGUGAAAACCUGCAGCUUAACUGUGGGCUUGCGGUCGAUACGGGCAUCACUGGAGUUCGGCAGGGGAGACUGGAAUUCCUGGUGUAGCGGUGAAAUGCGCAGAUAUCAGGAGGAACACCGGUGGCGAAGGCGGGUCUCUGGGCCGAUACUGACGCUGAGGAGCGAAAGCGUGGGGAGCAAACAGG
RNAcentral lists this ribosomal RNA (254 nucleotides) under uncultured bacterium. RNAcentral's name for it is "partial 16S ribosomal RNA". It matches the Rfam family "Bacterial small subunit ribosomal RNA", at positions 524 to 776 of the family's 1533-position model. The record is from RNAcentral.